AUCCAGCUGACGAGUCCCGCAUAGAACGAAACACGCGUCCUGGAC
This 45-nucleotide non-coding RNA is filed under the name Schistosoma mattheei. Lineage: Eukaryota; Metazoa; Platyhelminthes; Trematoda; Strigeidida; Schistosomatidae. The record is from RNAcentral.